RNAcentral lists this ribosomal RNA (120 nucleotides) under Meriones unguiculatus (Mongolian gerbil). Lineage: Eukaryota; Metazoa; Chordata; Mammalia; Rodentia; Muridae. The record is from RNAcentral.
AUCUAUGGCCACACAACCCUGAAGGUACCUGAUCUCCUCUGGUUUCAGAAACCAGACAGAGUUAAGCAUUGUUAGUUCUUGGAUUGGAGGACAGAUUUGGCAUCUAAUGGGAAAGAGGUU